Molecule: ribosomal RNA, 899 nt
Organism: Phytophthora infestans T30-4
Lineage: Eukaryota; Oomycota; Peronosporomycetes; Peronosporales; Peronosporaceae
Source: RefSeq, a predicted model, not a curated record
CUCUUUAGCUUGGCAUUUGAAUCGGCUUUGCUGUUGCGAAGUAGAGUGGCGGCUUCGGCUGCCGAGGGUCGAUCCAUUUGGGAAAUGUUGUGUACUUCGGUAUGCAUCUCAAUUUGGACCUGAUAUCAGGCAAGAUUACCCGCUGAACUUAAGCAUAUUAAUAAGCGGAGGAAAAGAAACUAACAAGGAUUCCCCUAGUAACGGCGAGUGAAGCGGGAAGAGCUCAAGCUUAAAAUCUCCGUGCAAGUUUUGCGCGGCGAAUUGUAGUCUAUAGAGGCGUGAUCAGUGUGGGCGCUUGGGGCAAGUUCCUUGGAAGAGGACAGCAUGGAGGGUGAUACUCCCGUUCAUCCCUGAGUUGCUCGUGCGUACGAUCCGUUUUCUUUGAGUCGCGUUGUUUGGGAAUGCAGCGCAAAGUAGGUGGUAAAUUCCAUCUAAAGCUAAAUAUUGGUGCGAGACCGAUAGCGAACAAGUACCGUGAGGGAAAGAUGAAAAGAACUUUGAAAAGAGAGUUAAAGAGUACCUGAAACUGCUGAAAGGGAACCGAAUCGUUUCCAGUGUCUAUAAUCCGUGGUAUAUUUCAUUGGCGAGUGUGUGCGUGCGUGUGCUGUGGCAGCGGCUUUUUUGGCUGCGCUCGGCGUGUGUGCUGUGUGUGCUUGCUGGUGCCCUGUGCUGCGGUGGGACGUCAAGGUCAGUUCGUAUGCUGCGGGAAAUGGCCGCCGAGGAGGUAGGGCUUACGCUUGCGUUUGUCUGUUAUAUCUUGGUGGACGAGUAGUCGCGGUUGGGACUGAGGUGCCUACAACGUGUUUUUGAGUGGGCCUGUGUCUCUGUGUGCGCCGUGUGCGGAUAGCUUGCUAUGCGUGUAGUGGUUGUGUGUGGAUUGAUGUGGGUUUUAACUUGUU